This 465-nucleotide ribosomal RNA is filed under the name Vreelandella stevensii. RNAcentral describes it as "partial 16S ribosomal RNA". It matches the Rfam family "Bacterial small subunit ribosomal RNA", at positions 338 to 795 of the family's 1533-position model. The record is from RNAcentral. Lineage: Bacteria; Pseudomonadati; Pseudomonadota; Gammaproteobacteria; Oceanospirillales; Halomonadaceae.
CCUACGGGGGGCUGCAGUGGGGAAUAUUGGACAAUGGGGGCAACCCUGAUCCAGCCAUGCCGCGUGUGUGAAGAAGGCCCUCGGGUUGUAAAGCACUUUCAGUGAGGAAGAACGCCUGGUGGUUAAUACCCAUCAGGAAAGACAUCACUCACAGAAGAAGCACCGGCUAACUCCGUGCCAGCAGCCGCGGUAAUACGGAGGGUGCGAGCGUUAAUCGGAAUUACUGGGCGUAAAGCGCGCGUAGGUGGCUUGAUAAGCCGGUUGUGAAAGCCCCGGGCUCAACCUGGGAACGGCAUCCGGAACUGUCAAGCUAGAGUGCAGGAGAGGAAGGUAGAAUUCCCGGUGUAUCGGUGAAAUGCGUAGAGUUCGGGAGGAAUACCAAUGGCGAAGGCGGCCUUCUGGACUGACACUGACAAUGGGGUGCGGAAGCGUGGGUAGCACACAGGAUUAGAUACCCUAGUAGUA